UCGUCCUGGUCGAGGGUUCCGC
Molecule: non-coding RNA, 22 nt
Filed under: Arabidopsis thaliana (thale cress)
Lineage: Eukaryota; Viridiplantae; Streptophyta; Magnoliopsida; Brassicales; Brassicaceae
Source: RNAcentral